CGAUAACGAACGAGACCUUAACCUGCUAAAUAGCUGUAACAAUAGAUUAUUGUUUUGACAGCUUCUUAGAGGGACUAUCGAUUUUCAAGUCGAUGGAAGUUUGAGGCAAUAACAGGUCUGUGAUGCCCUUAGACGUUCUGGGCCGCACGCGCGCUACACUGACGGAGCCAGCGAGUCUAACCUGUGCCGAGAGGUAUGGGUAAAGUUGUGAAACUCCGUCGUGCUGGGGAUAGAGCAUUGCAAUUUUUUCUCUUCAACGAGGAAUUCCUAGUAAGCGCAAGUCAUCAGCUUGCGUUGAUUACGUCCGUGCCCCCUUUACCCCCGCCCG
Molecule: ribosomal RNA, 328 nt
Filed under: uncultured fungus
Lineage: Eukaryota; Fungi
Description: SSU rRNA
Rfam family: Eukaryotic small subunit ribosomal RNA
Source: RNAcentral